Molecule: transfer RNA, 74 nt
Filed under: Pseudoalteromonas luteoviolacea
Lineage: Bacteria; Pseudomonadati; Pseudomonadota; Gammaproteobacteria; Alteromonadales; Pseudoalteromonadaceae
Also listed under: 1 other name
Description: tRNA-Gln
Rfam family: tRNA
About the family: Transfer RNA (tRNA) molecules are approximately 80 nucleotides in length. Their secondary structure includes four short double-helical elements and three loops (D, anti-codon, and T loops).
Source: RNAcentral
UGGAGUAUCGCCAAGCGGUAAGGCAGCGGGUUUUGAUCCCGCCAUUCCCAGGUUCAAAUCCUGUACUCCAGCCA